RNAcentral lists this long non-coding RNA (1324 nucleotides) under Numida meleagris (helmeted guineafowl). RNAcentral describes it as "lncRNA (ENSNMEG00000014334.1)". The record is from RNAcentral. Lineage: Eukaryota; Metazoa; Chordata; Aves; Galliformes; Numididae.
CUCUCCUCAGGUGGGCGCGCGCGUGUGUGCUGGAAAAGGGCGGGAAGAAUGCUGUGAGGGAGCGAAGGGUGCUCCGCCUUGGGGAAUUCGGGUAUUAGGGAUUUCAAGUACGCUCCGACAAAUUCAAAAAAAUAGAUAUUUAUUUGGAAAGCUUGCAUUCAACACCAAUGAAAAAAACUUCAGAAAGCAAACUCUCAAAGCGUAAUAGAGAAGAAAGGAAAGCAAGAGAAUGACCUGAUGCAGUUUCCCUUGAACAAUGAGCUGCUGGUUGACCUAAUGUACUUUCUGAUGAGGAAUAAGGGAAUUCAUAGUCUUCGUUUUCUCUACGUAUACGUCAAUGUGCAGGGCAAGCAUGAAAAAUAGCUUGUGCCAUCUCUGUUGCUUCCCAUAGGAGAGAAGAGGAUAUAAGGUAAUACCAUGCAGCAGCAUGAAAAUCUUCUGCUAUUGCACAAACAUCGUGUGUGCAAUGAUAAUGCAGUCAGAAGAUCCGGCACCUUCUCAUUAGCUGGGCUUAUCUUGGAAGCUGUUGCUAUCAAGCCAUAUUACCAUACCUACGUGUAUGGGAUCUGUUAGGUCACAGCCUGAACCAGUGAUUGAGCACCUGGUGGAGGGCACGGCCAGCCCUGGGAGCACAGGUGCAAGCAGUUCUGUGUGACUGGAAGGGGUGGACCCAUUGCCCACUGCUCCCUAACCUCAUUUAAGGACUGGCAGCUGGAAGGGAAGCAUCUUUAUUUAGAGACUGUUUCUUCUGGGAGUUUUCUGUUGGGCCCUCAUCCUUGGAAAUGGGUAAGUUACUUUUUCUUUAUUGUUGAACUGUGACAGAUAACUUUUUUGGGUGGUCUGAGAACUGGUCGGUGGCAGCUAUGUUCUCUGCUUUAUACCCUGUGCUGUGAAAUUGUUUAUCUAUCAGUGAAACUCUGUAAGGAUACAGUUUCAACCUACCAGUAUUAAAGUUAGGGAGAGAGCUGGCUGUAAGCGCUUUCUUAAUGGUUUUUUUUUUUUUUUGCUUGUUCUUCUUUCUUGGUUUCCUUAAUAAUGAAGCAUUCCAUACUGUUUCUAUGUUUUUUUUUGUUGUUGGUGGUGGUGUUUGCCUUUCAUCCUUUCUGUUCUGGCAGUUCUGCUGAAGUAAAUACUGACUUCAAAUAUCAAAUGUGUAGCUUACAUUGAUUUUCGUCCCCAGUGCACUUAAAUCUAAGUGAGGGUAGAAAAGCUUUGCAUGGGCAGAGAACUUGUGCUGCUUUCCUCUUUCUCUGUAAGACUGAUGAUGUUGUCUGUUCAGCCAUGCUUAUGCUGAUCCUUACAAAUCCAUGCUGUGUUCUUUCUA